GGUGAGUAGAAUGUUCUGGAAAGUUCAACCAUAGAGCAUGAUAGUUGCGUAUACGAAGCCAGUCGAAGCCUAGUGGUAUCCUGAGUAGCGCGGAGCACGAGGAAUUCUGCGUGAAUCAGCCGGGACCAUCCGGUAAGGCUAAAUACUCCCGAGAGACCGAUAGUGAACCAGUACUGUGAAGGAAAGGUGAAAAGCACUUCGAACAGAAGAGUGAAAUAGUUCCUGAAACCAUGCGCCUACAAGCGGUCGGAGCUCU
RNAcentral lists this non-coding RNA (256 nucleotides) under Bacteroides stercoris. Its description in RNAcentral is "Bacterial large subunit ribosomal RNA". It matches the Rfam family "Bacterial large subunit ribosomal RNA", at positions 327 to 583 of the family's 2925-position model. The record is from Rfam by way of RNAcentral. Lineage: Bacteria; Pseudomonadati; Bacteroidota; Bacteroidia; Bacteroidales; Bacteroidaceae.